AAAUCCCUGCUUUGUUUGUGAUAAAGGUUACAAUGUAAAACCAACACAUUUACGAAGGGGUCUUGUCUCCAAAAGCGGCGCACAUGCCUCAUGCUUAUGCAUCCAGUGGACUUGUAAUGUUUUUGGGCGUUUCCCCACCUGGAUUCCAGGUUUUUACUAAACCUUUUCAUCACGGCACGGUGGGGCUUUU
RNAcentral lists this non-coding RNA (190 nucleotides) under Ructibacterium gallinarum. RNAcentral's name for it is "6S / SsrS RNA". It matches the Rfam family "6S / SsrS RNA". From Rfam's summary of the family: E. coli 6S RNA was the first non coding RNA to be sequenced, but its function was unknown until recently. It consists of 184 nucleotides that fold into an extended hairpin structure with a large single-stranded internal bulge. Lineage: Bacteria; Bacillati; Bacillota; Clostridia; Eubacteriales; Oscillospiraceae. The record is from Rfam by way of RNAcentral.